This 497-nucleotide ribosomal RNA is filed under the name uncultured bacterium. RNAcentral's name for it is "partial 16S ribosomal RNA". It matches the Rfam family "Bacterial small subunit ribosomal RNA", at positions 28 to 507 of the family's 1533-position model. The record is from RNAcentral.
GAUGAACGCUGGCGGCGUGCCUAAUACAUGCAAGUCGAGCGACAGGACGAGAAGCUUGCUCCUCUGAUGUUAGCGGCGGACGGGUGAGUAACACGUGGAUAACCUACCUAUAAGACUGGGAUAACUUCGGGAAACCGGAGCUAAUAACAGAUAAUAUUUUGAACCGCAUGGUUCAAAAGUAAAAGGCGGUCUUGCUGUCACUAAUAGAUGGAUCCGCGCUGCAUUAGCUAGUUGGUAAGGUAACGGCUUACCAAGGCAACGAUGCAUAGCCGACCUGAGAGGGUGAUCGGCCACACUGGAACUGAGACACGGUCCAGACUCCUACGGGAGGCAGCAGUAGGGAAUCUUGCGCAAUGGGCGAAAGCCUGACGGAGCAACGCCGCGUGAGUGAUGAAGGUCUUCGGAUCGUAAAACUCUGUUAUUAGGGAAGAACAUAUGUGGAUGUAACUCUGCAUAUCUUGACGGUACCUAAUCAGUAAGCCACGGCUAACUACGUG